AAAUUUGAAAUCUGGCUCCCCCCUGGGGGGCCCGAGUUGUAAUUUGGAGAGGAUGCUUUGGGCGCGGCGCCUUCCGAGUUCCUUGGAACAGGACGCCAGAGAGGGUGAGAGCCCCGUACGGUCGGACGCCUAGCCCGUGCAAAGCUCCUUCGACGAGUCGAGUAGUUUGGGAAUGCUGCUCAAAAUGGGAGGUAAAUUUCUUCUAAAGCUAAAUACCGGCCAGAGACCGAUAGCGCACAAGUAGAGUGAUCGAAAGAUGAAAAGCACUUUGAAAAGAGGGUUAAACAGCACGUGAAAUUGUUGAAAGGGAAGCGCCUGUGGCCAGACGUGCGCCCCGCGGACCACCCGUCGCUCUGCGGCGGGGCACGCCGCGGCGGCGCAGGCCAGCAUCGGCUCUCCCAGGGGGACAAAGGCCGCGGGAACGUAGCUCCUUCGGGAGUGUUAUAGCCCGCGGCGCCAUGCCUCUGGGGGGGCCGAGGACCGCGCCUUCGGGCAAGGAUGCUGGCGUAAUGGCCACCAGCGACCCGUCUUGAAACACGGACCAAGGAGUCAAGCAUUGGGGCGAGUGUUUGGGUGACAAACCCGCACGCGAAAUGAAAGUGAACGCAGGUGGGAG
RNAcentral lists this ribosomal RNA (616 nucleotides) under Raffaelea subalba. Its description in RNAcentral is "eukaryotic LSU rRNA". It matches the Rfam family "Eukaryotic large subunit ribosomal RNA", at positions 111 to 741 of the family's 3401-position model. Lineage: Eukaryota; Fungi; Ascomycota; Sordariomycetes; Ophiostomatales; Ophiostomataceae. The record is from RNAcentral.